RNAcentral lists this ribosomal RNA (457 nucleotides) under uncultured bacterium. RNAcentral's name for it is "bacterial SSU rRNA". It matches the Rfam family "Bacterial small subunit ribosomal RNA", at positions 28 to 507 of the family's 1533-position model. The record is from RNAcentral.
GACGAACGCUGGCGGCGUGCUUAACACAUGCAAGUCGAGCGAUGAAGCACCUUCGGGUGUGAAUUAGCGGCGAACGGGUGAGGAACACGUGAGAAAUCUGCCUUCAACACUGGGAUAACUCCGGGAAACCGGGGCUAAUACCGGAUAUGAAACCUGCGGGCAUCCGCGGGUUUGGAAAGUUUUCGGUUGAAGAUGAUCUCGCGGCCUAUCAGCUUGUUGGUGAGGUAAAAGCUCACCAAGGCGACGACGGGUAGCCGGCCUGAGAGGGUGACCGGCCACACUGGGACUGAGACACGGCCCAGACUCCUACGGGAGGCAGCAGUGGGGAAUAUUGGACAAUGGGCGAAAGCCUGAUCCAGCAAUGCCGCGUGAGUGAUGAAGGCCUUAGGGUUGUAAAGCUCUUUUACCCGAGAUGAUAAUGACAGUAUCGGGAGAAUAAGCUCCGGCUAACUCCGUG